RNAcentral lists this transfer RNA (74 nucleotides) under Dermacentor silvarum. RNAcentral's name for it is "transfer RNA methionine (anticodon CAU)". It matches the Rfam family "tRNA". From Rfam's summary of the family: Transfer RNA (tRNA) molecules are approximately 80 nucleotides in length. Their secondary structure includes four short double-helical elements and three loops (D, anti-codon, and T loops). Lineage: Eukaryota; Metazoa; Arthropoda; Arachnida; Ixodida; Ixodidae. The record is from RNAcentral.
GCCUCGGUAGCGCAGUAGGCAGCGCGUCAGUCUCAUAAUCUGAAGGUCAGUGAGUUCGAUCCUCACCCGGGGCA